RNAcentral lists this transfer RNA (67 nucleotides) under Tullbergia mixta. Its description in RNAcentral is "tRNA-Val". Lineage: Eukaryota; Metazoa; Arthropoda; Collembola; Poduromorpha; Tullbergiidae. The record is from RNAcentral.
UGAGGUAGAGCUAUAUAUAAGCAACUCAUUUACGGUGAGAGGUUUCCAGGAUUUACGGAUGCCUUAA